GAUGAACGCUAGCGACAGGCUUAACACAUGCAAGUCGAGGGGCAGCAUAAAAGUAGCAAUACUUUGGUGGCGACCGGCGCACGGGUGAGUAACGCGUAUGCAACCUACCUAUCAGAGGGGGAUAACCCGGCGAAAGUCGGACUAAUACCGCAUAAAACAGGGGCACCGCAUGGUGAUAUUUGUUAAAAAUUUAUUGCUGAUAGAUGGGCAUGCGUUCCAUUAGGUAGUUGGAGAGGUAACGGCUCACCAAGCCCACGAUGGAUAGGGGAACUGAGAGGUUGGUCCCCCACACUGGUACUGAGACACGGACCAGACUCCUACGGGAGGCAGCAGUGAGGAAUAUUGGUCAAUGGGCGAGAGCCUGAACCAGCCAAGUCGCGUGAAGGAAGAAGGAUCUAUGGUUCGUAAACUUCUUUUGCAGGGGAAUAAAGUGCAGGACGUGCCCUGUUUGUAUGUACCCUGAGAAUAAGGAUCGGCUAACUCCGUGCCAGCAGCCGCGGUAAACUCG
This 508-nucleotide ribosomal RNA is filed under the name uncultured bacterium. Its description in RNAcentral is "bacterial SSU rRNA". It matches the Rfam family "Bacterial small subunit ribosomal RNA", at positions 28 to 527 of the family's 1533-position model. The record is from RNAcentral.